GAUCCUGGCUCAGGAUGAACGCUAGCGACAGGCCUAACACAUGCAAGUCGAGGGGCAGCGGAGAGGUAGCAAUACCUUUGCCGGCGACCGGCGCACGGGUGAGUAACACGUAUGCAAUCCACCUGUAACAGGGGGAGUAACCCGGAGAAAUCCGGACUAAUACCCCACUAAUAUGGGCGCUCCGCAUGGAGAGCCCAUUAAAGAGAGCAAUUUUGGUUACAGACGAGCAUGCGCUCCA
This 238-nucleotide ribosomal RNA is filed under the name uncultured bacterium. RNAcentral describes it as "partial 16S ribosomal RNA". It matches the Rfam family "Bacterial small subunit ribosomal RNA", at positions 15 to 240 of the family's 1533-position model. The record is from RNAcentral.